This 249-nucleotide ribosomal RNA is filed under the name uncultured organism. RNAcentral describes it as "partial 16S ribosomal RNA". It matches the Rfam family "Bacterial small subunit ribosomal RNA", at positions 355 to 621 of the family's 1533-position model. The record is from RNAcentral.
UGGGGAAUCUUGCACAAUGGGGUAAACCCUGAUGCAGCGACGCCGCGUGAGCGAUGAAGCCCCUCGGGGUGUAAAGCUCUUUCGACAGGAACGAUGAUGACGGUACCUGAAGAAUAAGCUGCGGCUAACUACGUGCCAGCAGCCGCGGCACUACGUAGGCAGCAAGCGUUGUCCGGAAUUACUGGGCGGAAAGGGUGCGUAGGCGGGAAAUUAAGUCAGUUGGGAAAACCCCGGGCUCAACCUGGGGGU